GCAUAUCAGUAAGCGGAGGAAAAGAAACUAACAAGGAUUCCCCAAGUAGCGGCGAGCGAACAGGGAAGAGCUCAUCACUAAAUCUCGUGCUCUGUUAAAGGGUACCGAGAAAUGUAGUGUUUGGGAAGACCGCGAGCGUCUGUCCGACUCGAUUCAAGUCUCCAUGAACGGGGCGAGCAACCCAUAGAGGGUGUCAGGCCCGUAGAUUAUAAAUCGGUCGAGACCGUGCUAUGGUUCAUUUCCUAAGAGUCGGGUUGCUUGAGCGUGCAGCCCUAAGCGGGAGGUAAACUCCUUCUAAAGCUAAAUAUCGCCACGAGACCGAUAGCGAACAAGUACCGCGAGGGAAAGUUGAAAAGAACUUUGAAGAGAG
Molecule: ribosomal RNA, 370 nt
Filed under: Bosminopsis zernowi
Lineage: Eukaryota; Metazoa; Arthropoda; Branchiopoda; Diplostraca; Bosminidae
Description: partial large subunit ribosomal RNA
Rfam family: Eukaryotic large subunit ribosomal RNA
Source: RNAcentral